This 77-nucleotide transfer RNA is filed under the name Cohnella ginsengisoli. RNAcentral's name for it is "tRNA-Val". It matches the Rfam family "tRNA". From Rfam's summary of the family: Transfer RNA (tRNA) molecules are approximately 80 nucleotides in length. Their secondary structure includes four short double-helical elements and three loops (D, anti-codon, and T loops). Further hydrogen bonds mediate the characteristic L-shaped molecular structure. tRNAs have two regions of fundamental functional importance: the anti-codon, which is responsible for specific mRNA codon recognition, and the 3' end, to which the tRNAs corresponding amino acid is attached (by aminoacyl-tRNA synthetases). tRNAs cope with the degeneracy of the genetic code in two manners: having more than one tRNA (with a specific anti-codon) for a particular amino acid; and 'wobble' base-pairing, i.e. permitting non-standard base-pairing at the 3rd anti-codon position. Lineage: Bacteria; Bacillati; Bacillota; Bacilli; Caryophanales; Paenibacillaceae. The record is from RNAcentral. RNAcentral also lists the same sequence under 1 other name.
GGAGGCUUAGCUCAGCCGGGAGAGCAUCUGCCUUACAAGCAGAGGGUCGGGGGGUUCGAUCCCCUCAGCCUCCACCA